UCUGUUUUAGUAUAGCAUGAUUAUACUAGCUUUUCGUGCUAGAGACAAUUAUUAAAAUUAAACAGGG
This 67-nucleotide transfer RNA is filed under the name Testudotaenia sp. WL-2016. RNAcentral's name for it is "tRNA-Glu". The record is from RNAcentral. Lineage: Eukaryota; Metazoa; Platyhelminthes; Cestoda; Proteocephalidea; Proteocephalidae.